RNAcentral lists this ribosomal RNA (347 nucleotides) under uncultured bacterium. Its description in RNAcentral is "bacterial SSU rRNA". It matches the Rfam family "Bacterial small subunit ribosomal RNA", at positions 917 to 1269 of the family's 1533-position model. The record is from RNAcentral.
GGGCCCGCACAAGCGGUGGAGCAUGUGGUUUAAUUCGAUGAUACGCGAGGAACCUUACCAGGGUUUAAAUGCAGAACGACAGGGGUGGAAACACCCCUUCUUCGGACGGACUGCAAGGUGCUGCAUGGUUGUCGUCAGCUCGUGCUGUGAAGUGUCGGGUUAAGUCCCAUAACGAGCGCAACCCCCAUUUCUAGUUGCCAGCGGUUCGGCCGGGGACUCUAGAGAAACUGCCAGCGUAAGCUGUGAGGAAGGUGGGGAUGACGUCAAAUCAUCACGGCCUUACAUCCUGGGCCACACACGUGCUACAAUGGGAAGUACAGAGGGACGCCAAAGCGUGAGCUGGAGCU